GACGAACGCUGGCGGCGUGCUUAACACAUGCAAGUCGAACGGAAAGGCCCUGCUUUUGUGGGGUGCUCGAGUGGCGAACGGGUGAGUAACACGUGAGUAACCUGCCCUUGACUUUGGGAUAACUUCAGGAAACUGGGGCUAAUACCGGAUAGGAGCUCCUGCUGCAUGGUGGGGGUUGGAAAGUUUCGGCGGUUGGGGAUGGACUCGCGGCUUAUCAGCUUGUUGGUGGGGUAGUGGCUUACCAAGGCUUUGACGGGUAGCCGGCCUGAGAGGGUGACCGGCCACAUUGGGCCUGAGAUACGACCCAGAGUCCUACGGGAGGCAGCGGUGGGGAAUAAUGCACAAUGGGCGGAGGCCUGAUGCAGCAACGCCGCGUGCGAGAUGACGGCCUUCGGGUUGUAAAACGCUUUCGCCUGUGACGAAGCGUGAGUGACGGUAAUGGGUAAAGAAGCACCGGCUAACUACGU
RNAcentral lists this ribosomal RNA (467 nucleotides) under uncultured bacterium. Its description in RNAcentral is "partial 16S ribosomal RNA". It matches the Rfam family "Bacterial small subunit ribosomal RNA", at positions 28 to 506 of the family's 1533-position model. The record is from RNAcentral.